RNAcentral lists this ribosomal RNA (302 nucleotides) under uncultured bacterium. RNAcentral describes it as "bacterial SSU rRNA". It matches the Rfam family "Bacterial small subunit ribosomal RNA", at positions 28 to 334 of the family's 1533-position model. The record is from RNAcentral.
GACGAACGCUGGCGGCGUGCUUAACACAUGCAAGUCGAACGGAAAGGCCCCUUCGGGGGUGCUCGAGUGGCGAACGGGUGAGUAACACGUGGGUGAUCUGCCCCGCACUUCGGGAUAAGCCUGGGAAACUGGGUCUAAUACCGGAUAGGACCGCAUCGUGGAGGUGUGGUGGAAAGAUUUUUUCGGUGUGGGAUGAGCUCGCGGCCUAUCAGCUUGUUGGUGGGGUAAUGGCCUACCAAGGCGUCGACGGGUAGCCGGCCUGAGAGGGUGGACGGCCACAUUGGGACUGAGAUACGGCCCAG